This 468-nucleotide ribosomal RNA is filed under the name uncultured bacterium. Its description in RNAcentral is "partial 16S ribosomal RNA". It matches the Rfam family "Bacterial small subunit ribosomal RNA", at positions 28 to 507 of the family's 1533-position model. The record is from RNAcentral.
GACGAACGCUGGCGGCGUGCUUAACACAUGCAAGUCGAACGGAAGGGCCCUGCUUUUGUGGGGUGCUCGAGUGGCGAACGGGUGAGUAACACGUGAGUAACCUGCCCUUGACUUUGGGAUAACUUCAGGAAACUGGGGUUAAUACCGGAUAGGAGCUCCUGCUGCAUGGUGGGGGUUGGAAAGUUUCGGCGGUUGGGGAUGGACUCGCGGCUUAUCAGCUUGUUGGUGGGGUAGUGGCUUACCAAGGCGUUGACGGGUAGCCGGCCUGAGAGGGUGACCGGCCACAUUGGGACUGAGAUACGGCCCAGACUCCUACGGGAGGCAGCAGUGGGGAAUAUUGCACAAUGGGCGGAAGCCUGAUGCAGCAACGCCGCGUGCGGGAUGACGGCCUUCGGGUUGUAAACCGCUUUCGCCUGUGACGAAGCGUGAGUGACGGUAAUGGGUGAAGAAGCACCGGCUAACUACGUG